RNAcentral lists this ribosomal RNA (497 nucleotides) under uncultured bacterium. RNAcentral's name for it is "partial 16S ribosomal RNA". It matches the Rfam family "Bacterial small subunit ribosomal RNA", at positions 28 to 507 of the family's 1533-position model. The record is from RNAcentral.
GAUGAACGCUGGCGGCGUGCCUAAUACAUGCAAGUCGAGCGAACGGACGAUAAGCUUGCUUCUCUGAUGUUAGCGGCGGACGGGUGAGUAACACGUGGAUACCCUACCUAUAAGACUGGGAUAACUUCGGGAAACCGGAGCUAAUACCGGAGAAUAUUUUGAACCGCAUGGUGCAAAAGUGAAAGACGGUCUUGCUGUCACUUAUAGAUGGAUCCGCGCUGCAUUAGCUAGUUGGUAAGGUAACGGCUUACCAAGGCAACGAUGCAUAGCCGACCUGAGAGGGUGAUAGGCCACACUGGAACUGAGACACGGUCCAGAGUCCUACGGGAGGCAGCAGUAGGGAAUCGUACGCAAAGGGCGGAAGCCUGACGGAGCAACGCCGCGUGAGUGAUGACGGUCUUCGGAUCGUAAAACUCUGUUAUUAGGGAAGAACAUAUGUGUAAGUAACUGUGCACAUAGUGACGGUAACUAAUAAGAAAGCAACGGCUAACUACGUG